GGUGAGGUGGCCGAGAGGCUGAAGGCGCUCCCCUGCUAAGGGAGUAUGCGGUCAAAAGCUGCAUCCGGGGUUCGAAUCUCCGCAUCACCGCCA
This 93-nucleotide transfer RNA is filed under the name Salmonella enterica subsp. enterica serovar Typhi. RNAcentral describes it as "tRNA-Ser". It matches the Rfam family "tRNA". From Rfam's summary of the family: Transfer RNA (tRNA) molecules are approximately 80 nucleotides in length. The record is from RNAcentral. Lineage: Bacteria; Pseudomonadati; Pseudomonadota; Gammaproteobacteria; Enterobacterales; Enterobacteriaceae.